This 236-nucleotide ribosomal RNA is filed under the name uncultured bacterium. RNAcentral describes it as "partial 16S ribosomal RNA". It matches the Rfam family "Bacterial small subunit ribosomal RNA", at positions 524 to 759 of the family's 1533-position model. The record is from RNAcentral.
UACGAAGGGGGCUAGCGUUGCUCGGAAUCACUGGGCGUAAAGGGUGCGUAGGCGGGUCUUUAAGUCAGGGGUGAAAUCCUGGAGCUCAACUCCAGAACUGCCUUUGAUACUGAGGAUCUUGAGUUCGGGAGAGGUGAGUGGAACUGCGAGUGUAGAGGUGAAAUUCGUAGAUAUUCGCAAGAACACCAGUGGCGAAGGCGGCUCACUGGCCCGAUACUGACGCUGAGGCACGAAAG